GGGUUUGUAGCUCAGUUGGUUAGAGUACCGCGUUGACAUCGCGGGGGUCGGAGGUUCGAGUCCUCUCAAACCUACCA
RNAcentral lists this transfer RNA (77 nucleotides) under Desulfosporosinus sp. RNAcentral's name for it is "tRNA-Val". It matches the Rfam family "tRNA". From Rfam's summary of the family: Transfer RNA (tRNA) molecules are approximately 80 nucleotides in length. Their secondary structure includes four short double-helical elements and three loops (D, anti-codon, and T loops). The record is from RNAcentral. Lineage: Bacteria; Bacillati; Bacillota; Clostridia; Eubacteriales; Desulfitobacteriaceae.